RNAcentral lists this ribosomal RNA (406 nucleotides) under uncultured bacterium. RNAcentral's name for it is "partial 16S ribosomal RNA". It matches the Rfam family "Bacterial small subunit ribosomal RNA", at positions 30 to 526 of the family's 1533-position model. The record is from RNAcentral.
AUUGAACGCUGGCGGCAGGCCUAACACAUGCAAGUCGAGCGAGCGGCGGACGGGUGAGUAAUGUCUGGGAAACUGCCUCAGGGGGGGGGAUAACUACUGUAAACGGUAUCUAAUACCCCGUACCCUCAGAUGUGCCCCGAUAGGGGUAGCGAGUAGGUGGGGUAAUGGCUCACCUAGGCGACGAUCCCUAGCUGGUCUGAGAGGAUGACCAGCCACACUGGAACUGAGACACGGUCCAGACUCCUACGGGAGGCAGCAGUGGGGAAUAUUGCACAAUGGGCGCAAGCCUGAUGCAGCCAUGCCGCGUGUGUGAAGAAGGCCUUCGGGUUGUAAAGCACUUUCAGCGGGGAGGCGUUACCCGCAGAAGAAGCACCGGCUAACUCCGUGCCAGCAGCCGCGGUAAUUC